Molecule: ribosomal RNA, 482 nt
Filed under: uncultured bacterium
Lineage: Bacteria
Description: partial 16S ribosomal RNA
Rfam family: Bacterial small subunit ribosomal RNA
Source: RNAcentral
GAUGAACGCUGGCGGCGUGCCUAACACAUGCAAGUCGAACGGAGUCGUUUUGGAAAUCUCUUCGGAGAUGGAAUUCUCGACUUAGUGGCGGACGGGUGAGUAACGCGUGAGCAAUCUGCCUUUAAGAGGGGGAUAACAGUCGGAAACGGCUGCUAAUACCGCAUAAAGCAUUAAAUUCGCAUGUUUUUGAUGCCAAAGGAGCAAUCCGCUUUUAGAUGAGCUCGCGUCUGAUUAGCUAGUUGGCGGGGUAACGGCCCACCAAGGCGACGAUCAGUAGCCGGACUGGGGGGUUGGACGGCCCAAGUGGGACUGAGAAACGGCCCAGAAUCCUACGGGGGGCAGCAGUGGGGAAUAUUGCGCAAGGGGGGAAACCCUGAAGCAACAACGCCGGGUGAUUGAAGAAGGCCUUCGGGUUGUAAAGAUCUUUAACCAGGGACGAAAAAAAUGACGGUACCUGAAGAAAAAGCCCCGGGUAACUACGG